This 737-nucleotide ribosomal RNA is filed under the name uncultured Enterococcus sp. RNAcentral describes it as "bacterial SSU rRNA". It matches the Rfam family "Bacterial small subunit ribosomal RNA", at positions 28 to 736 of the family's 1533-position model. Lineage: Bacteria; Bacillati; Bacillota; Bacilli; Lactobacillales; Enterococcaceae. The record is from RNAcentral.
GACGAACGCUGGCGGCGUGCCUAAUACAUGCAAGUCGAACGCUUCUUUCCUCCCGAGUGCUUGCACUCAAUUGGAAAGAGGAGUGGCGGACGGGUGAGUAACACGUGGGUAACCUACCCAUCAGAGGGGGAUAACACUUGGAAACAGGUGCUAAUACCGCAUAACAGUUUAUGCCGCAUGGCAUAAGAGUGAAAGGCGCUUUCGGGUGUCGCUGAUGGAUGGACCCGCGGUGCAUUAGCUAGUUGGUGAGGUAACGGCUCACCAAGGCCACGAUGCAUAGCCGACCUGAGAGGGUGAUCGGCCACACUGGGACUGAGACACGGCCCAGACUCCUACGGGAGGCAGCAGUAGGGAACCUUCGGCAAUGGACGAAAGUCUGACCGAGCAACGCCGCGUGAGUGAAGAAGGUUUUCGGAUCGUAAAACUCUGUUGUUAGAGAAGAACAAGGACGUUAGUAACUGAACGUCCCCUGACGGUAUCUAACCAGAAAGCCACGGCUAACUACGUGCCAGCAGCCGCGGUAAUACGUAGGUGGCAAGCGUUGUCCGGAUUUAUUGGGCGUAAAGCGAGCGCAGGCGGUUUCUUAAGUCUGAUGUGAAAGCCCCCGGCUCAACCGGGGAGGGUCAUUGGAAACUGGGAGACUUGAGUGCAGAAGAGGAGAGUGGAAUUCCAUGUGUAGCGGUGAAAUGCGUAGAUAUAUGGAGGAACACCAGUGGCGAAGGCGGCUCUCUGGUCUG